GGCCAUGUAGCCAAGUGGUUUUAGGCAUUGGUCUGCAAAACCAAUAACGCGGGUUCGAUUCCCGCCAUGGCCU
RNAcentral lists this transfer RNA (73 nucleotides) under bacterium. RNAcentral's name for it is "tRNA-Cys". It matches the Rfam family "tRNA". From Rfam's summary of the family: Transfer RNA (tRNA) molecules are approximately 80 nucleotides in length. Their secondary structure includes four short double-helical elements and three loops (D, anti-codon, and T loops). The record is from RNAcentral.